UACGAAGGGUGCAAGCGUUACUCGGAAUUACUGGGCGUAAAGGGUGCGUAGGUGGUCGUUUAAGUCCGUUGUGAAAUCCCUGGGCUCAACCUGGGAAUGGCAGCGGAUACUGGACGGCUAGAAUGCGGUAGAGGGUAGUGGAAUUCCCGGUGUAGCAGUGAAAUGCGUAGAGAUCGGGAGGAACACCAGUGGCGAAGGCGGCUACCUGGACCAGCAUUGACACUCAAGCACGAAAGCGUGGGGAGCGAACAGG
This 253-nucleotide ribosomal RNA is filed under the name uncultured bacterium. RNAcentral describes it as "partial 16S ribosomal RNA". It matches the Rfam family "Bacterial small subunit ribosomal RNA", at positions 524 to 776 of the family's 1533-position model. The record is from RNAcentral.